Molecule: ribosomal RNA, 439 nt
Filed under: uncultured bacterium
Lineage: Bacteria
Description: partial 16S ribosomal RNA
Rfam family: Bacterial small subunit ribosomal RNA
Source: RNAcentral
CUACGGGUUGCUGCAGUGAGGAAUAUUGCACAAUGGGGGGAACCCUGAUGCAGCAACGCCGCGUGGAGGAUGACGCAUUUCGGUGUGUAAACUCCUUUUAUAUGUCAAGAAAAUGACGGUAGCAUAUGAAUAAGCACCUGCUAACUCCGUGCCAGCAGCCGCGGUAAUACAGAGGGUGCAAGCGUUAGUCGGAAUCACUGGGCGUAAAGGACGCGUAGGCGGGUUGGAAAGUCAGGUGUGAAAUCCUACAGCUUAACUGUAGAACUGCACUUGAAACUUCUAAUCUAGAGUAUGGGAGGGGGAGAUGGAAUUAGUGGUGUAGGGGUAAAAUCCGUAGAUAUCACUAGGAAUACCUAAAGCGAAGGCGAUCUCCUGGAACAUUACUGACGCUAAGGCGUGAAAGCGUGGGGAGCAAACAGGAUUAGAUACCCGUGUAGUC